Molecule: long non-coding RNA, 3391 nt
Organism: Nerophis ophidion (straightnose pipefish)
Lineage: Eukaryota; Metazoa; Chordata; Actinopteri; Syngnathiformes; Syngnathidae
Exons: 3
Source: RefSeq, a predicted model, not a curated record
UUCAUCUCUGCCCCUCACAUCCUCUUCCCAGCCCCCUCCCCCUUCUCUGUUUUAACUCCGUGUCAUUCCCAGUCUUUCCCAGACAGACUCGACAGGUCACCGGUCGGGUCUGCUGACAUCUGCCCCAUCAGUCAUUCCCGCCCAAGGCCCCGCCCUCCAAUCUCCCAUACAAGGUAUCGGAGGAUUGCGGCUCUUGGAAGUCCAUCCACUUCAUAAGGAGAACAGAGGGGUCCAUGUGAUGACGAUAGUUAGUGUUCUGGAGAUCCGCGGCGAAGACCUCUUCUCAUACGCUGCAUGGCGUCUACUGCUCAGAACGCUGCCUGGUCCUCACACACUCACAGAUGGAUGACAGGAGAGGCCGCAGAGGGGUUGCGAUGGAGAUGAGGAGACUGAAGAUGGACAUCACUGUGGAGCAGCAUUAAGGUGCAACAAUAAGAUACACCGUAUUUUCCGGACUCUAAAGCGCACCAUAUACGUAUAAGCCACACUCACAAGUUUUUGGAAGAAAAAAACUUUUCUCCAUAUAUUAUCCACUGAUAUAUAUUUUCUGAAAUUAGUUUUUUACAAGGAAUUAAAUUGCAAAUGUUUAUAUACAUAACUUAAUUGUUUCCAAACGGUGCCUGUAACACGGCAGUAAAAUGGCUGAUCAAACAAAACAGAAGUCAUCGUUUUCCACCCAUUAUCUGUGGAAGAUAACUCUCCAAUCAGCUAAACAGACUCCAUAACUCCACAGUGACGUUUUGGAGAAUUUACAAAACUGCAACAAUACAAAGUUGUUUUUUUUUGUUUUGUUUUUUUGUCCUGUCCAGCUUCUCAGGCAAAUCAUAUAGUUGAUGUAGAUGCCCAUAUCGGCUCUUCAGAUUUACUUUACAAAAGAGAAGUGUAAGAUACUUCUCUCGUUGCCUUAUUUGAAUUUGACUUUAUUAAAUGUAUUUAUAUUAUCAUUUGGGGCAGCCGGGCCGGAGCAGGAGGGGAUAGAAAGAGGAAAAAAGGAAGACAGAGGGGGAAAUUGUGGGGAUAAGAGGGGCAUUAGACAGAGAGACAAUACAAAGUUGAUAAAUGAAUGAAUUGAUUAACGUGGACUAACUUAUUUGGGUGUUACCAUUUAGUAGUCAAUUGUACGAAAUAUGUACUGUACUGUGCAAUCUACUCAUAAAAGUCUCAAUCAGUCAAUCAAUAAAACUAACACAGACACUUGAAAAAAUGUUAGCAUAUUAGCUCAUGCUAACAAUGCUAGCCUGAUUACAGCCAUCACACGUGGGACAGUUUAGUAAGUAUGAAUUGUUUUAGUUAUAUUGUAAAACUUACAAACGUUGCUGAGGGUGAUGAGUGAAGAAUCCUUUCGAGCAGAAACGCUAUGGACGGCUUUACUUGCGGCUCAAGGCAGGAAACAGGAAGUACAUUUUUAACCUGCAGCACCUGCAGUGGCCGAAAUCGUCCAAAAGAUGAAGCCAUAGCAUAAAAAAAAUAACACCAACUUUGCCGGUGUUCUUUGAAAACUAUUUGUUGAAUAUGAAACGUCAAGGAAAAUCACAUAAAUUAGUCUCACCAUUCUUUAGGCCACCGAGUUGAAAUGGUAGAAAAAAAGUAGCUGUUUACAGUCCGGCAAAUACGGUGUUUAUUUAGAUACUACUUUUUAUUAAUUUAUUCUAUUUUAUUAUUAAAUGAAUCAUUUUGUAUUCCAAUAAUAUAUUUCAUAACAUGGUUGAACAAAUAAGAUGUAGUUUUGCAACAUACUGAGUUUUCUUCUAUUUAGUUUACCUUUUCAACGAGACAUCCUACACCACAUGUGUCUAACUCAAGACCCAGGGCCCACAUGUGGCCCACCACAUCGUUAAAUGGCCUUUGAAAGCCUGGGCAAAAAUAUGCAUCAAUAGAAUAUUUCAUCGUUCUUACAAAAUAAAUGUAUUCGUAUUUUCCAUUUUGAGAGAAAAAAACACAUGUACUGCAUGCAAUUUAAAAUAUUUUAUACUAUAAUAUCUAAAAUGCAACAAAUAUUUUAUCAUACAUUCAAACAUUUGUGUUACUAUUUAAACAUCUGCUUGACUUAUGAUUUCACAGCAAGUCAUUCUUCAAAUUGGACUUUACAGAAAUGGCAGCUCGGUCGGCAGAAUUUUACCAUAGAAAAACUGCGGUCCUGUUCUUCCAUUUACAGUAAUACACCAUAAAAAUAACAUCUGUAGAUUUUACAUUUGGAAAAAAAUAGCACUUUUGUUACUGCAAUUCUACUGUUAAAAAAACAUGGGACUAUUUUUCUAUUUAUAGUAAUAUACUGUGAAUACACCAUAGGUUUUACUGUAAAAUUCUGGUGAAUCACCGUAAAAUGUACAUAUUCAUUUUAAUAGUGUAGGUGAAAACUAUAUAAUAAUAAUAAUAAUAAUUGUAUUUUAUUCUUAUUUUAAUAUUUUUCUAUUUUGUUCCCAUUUAAACCCCCAUUAUUUACUUUUUACUUUUUAAAUUGAUCUCAACUCUGUACACAGCUGCUGGAAUUUUAAUUUUCCUGAAGGAACUCUCCUGAGGGAAUCAAUAAAGUACUAUCCAUCUAUCUAUCUAUCUAUCUAUCUAUCUAUCUAUCUAUCUAUCUAUCUAUCUAUCCAUCUAACUAUCUAUCUAUCUAUCCAUCUAUCUAUCUAUCUAUCUAUCUAUCUAUCUAUCUAUCUAUCUAUCUAUCUAUCUAUCUAUCUAUCUAUCUAUCUAUCUAUCUAUCUAUCUAUCUAUAUAUCCACCCAUCCAUCUAUCUAUCUAUCUAUCUAUCUAUCUAUCUAUUUAUCUAUCUAUCUAUCCAUCUAUCUAUAUAUCCAUCCAUCCAUCCAUCCAUCUAUCUAUCUAUCUAUCUAUCUAUCUAUCUAUCCAUCUAUCUAUCUAUCUAUCUAUCUAUCUAUCUAUCUAUCUAUCUAUCUAUCUAUCUAUAUAUCCAUCCAUCCAUCCAUCCAUCUAUCUAUCUAUCUAUCCAUCUAUCUAUCUAUCCAUCCAUCCAUCUAUCUAUCCAUCUAUCCAUCUAUCUAUCUAUCUAUCUAUCUAUCUAUCUAUCUAUCUAUCUAUCUAUCUAUCCAUCUAUCUAUCUAUCUAUCUAUCUAUCUAUCUAUCUAUCUAUCCAUCUAUCUAUCUAUCUAUUUAAUAAAAGGCAUAGGCAAUAGUGUAAUAAUAUCGUGAGGCGGAUCCUCAUGCAUCUAUCUUCAUAAAUGAUCUAAGGUUACUAAUAGGGACUCGGUAAAAAAAAACACUUUGACACUCCUGCUCUACACUCUAAACCAGUGGUCCCCAAACUACGGCCCGCGGACCAGAUCCGGCCCACCAGCAUUCGAGAUCUGGCCCACGGGAAGUCCCAAGUUAAAUGUUUAUUUUAUUUUAUUUUUUAAAUCUGUUCUUUUCUAACCCAUUGGGAUUAUCU